Molecule: ribosomal RNA, 616 nt
Filed under: uncultured bacterium
Lineage: Bacteria
Description: bacterial SSU rRNA
Rfam family: Bacterial small subunit ribosomal RNA
Source: RNAcentral
CAGGAUGAACGCUGGCGGCGUGCCUAACACAUGCAAGUCGAACGGGGUAUAUAAGCGGAAGUUUACGGAUGGAAGGUUAUAUACUUAGUGGCGGACGGGUGAGUAACGCGUGGGCAACCUGCCCCGUGCCGGGGGAUACCGCCUGGAAACAGGCGCUAAUACCGCAUAAGCGCAUACAGCCGCAUGGGUGUAUGCGGAAAGCUCCGGCGGCACGGGAUGGGCCCGCGCCCGAUUAGCCAGUUGGCGGGGUAACGGCCCACCAAAGCGACGAUCGGUAGCCGGCCUGAGAGGGCGGACGGCCACAUUGGGACUGAGACACGGCCCAAACUCCUACGGGAGGCAGCAGUGGGGAAUAUUGCACAAUGGGGGAAACCCUGAUGCAGCAACGCCGCGUGGGUGAAGGAGCGUUUCGGCGCGUAAAGCCCUGUCAGCGGGGAAGAAGAAAGACGGUACCCGACCAAGAAGCCCCGGCUAACUACGUGCCAGCAGCCGCGGUAAUACGUAGGGGGCGAGCGUUAUCCGGAAUUACUGGGUGUAAAGGGAGCGUAGACGGCGAGGUAAGCCUGAAGUGGAAGCCCGCGGCCCAACCGCGGAACUGCUUUGGGAACUGUUUUGC